GGGCCGGUAGCUCAGCUGGUAGAGCAUCUGACUUUUAAUCAGGUGGUCGCGGGUUCGACCCCCGCCCGGCUCA
RNAcentral lists this transfer RNA (73 nucleotides) under SAR324 cluster bacterium. RNAcentral describes it as "tRNA-Lys". It matches the Rfam family "tRNA". From Rfam's summary of the family: Transfer RNA (tRNA) molecules are approximately 80 nucleotides in length. Their secondary structure includes four short double-helical elements and three loops (D, anti-codon, and T loops). Further hydrogen bonds mediate the characteristic L-shaped molecular structure. tRNAs have two regions of fundamental functional importance: the anti-codon, which is responsible for specific mRNA codon recognition, and the 3' end, to which the tRNAs corresponding amino acid is attached (by aminoacyl-tRNA synthetases). tRNAs cope with the degeneracy of the genetic code in two manners: having more than one tRNA (with a specific anti-codon) for a particular amino acid; and 'wobble' base-pairing, i.e. permitting non-standard base-pairing at the 3rd anti-codon position. Lineage: Bacteria; Deltaproteobacteria. The record is from RNAcentral.